RNAcentral lists this ribosomal RNA (301 nucleotides) under uncultured bacterium. Its description in RNAcentral is "partial 16S ribosomal RNA". It matches the Rfam family "Bacterial small subunit ribosomal RNA", at positions 509 to 807 of the family's 1533-position model. The record is from RNAcentral.
CAGUAGCCGCGGGAAUACGUAGGGUGCAAGCGUUAAUCGGAAUUACUGGGCGUAAAGCGUGCGCAGGCGGUUCUAUAAGACAGAUGUGAAAUCCCCGGGCUCAACCUGGGAACUGCAUUUGUGACUGUAGAGCUGGAGUGCGGCAGAGGGGGAUGGAAUUCCGCGUGUAGCAGUGAAAUGCGUAGAUAUGCGGAGGAACACCGAUGGCGAAGGCAAUCCCCUGGGCCUGCACUGACGCUCAUGCACGAAAGCGUGGGGAGCAAACAGGAUUAGAUACCCGCGUAGUCCCUGUCUCUUAUAC